RNAcentral lists this ribosomal RNA (1357 nucleotides) under bacterium NLAE-zl-C115. Its description in RNAcentral is "16S ribosomal RNA". It matches the Rfam family "Bacterial small subunit ribosomal RNA", at positions 95 to 1465 of the family's 1533-position model. The record is from RNAcentral.
GUGGCGGACGGGUGAGUAACGCGUUAAAGAACUUGCCUUACAGACUGGGACAACAUUUGGAAACGAAUGCUAAUACCGGAUAUUAUGAUUGGGUCGCAUGAUCUGGUUAUGAAAGCUAUAUGCGCUGUGAGAGAGCUUUGCGUCCCAUUAGUUAGUUGGUGAGGUAACGGCUCACCAAGACGAUGAUGGGUAGCCGGCCUGAGAGGGUGAACGGCCACAAGGGGACUGAGACACGGCCCUUACUCCUACGGGAGGCAGCAGUGGGGAAUAUUGGACAAUGGACCAAAAGUCUGAUCCAGCAAUUCUGUGUGCACGAUGAAGUUUUUCGGAAUGUAAAGUGCUUUCAGUUGGGAAGAAGUCAGUGACGGUACCAACAGAAGAAGCGACGGCUAAAUACGUGCCAGCAGCCGCGGUAAUACGUAUGUCGCAAGCGUUAUCCGGAUUUAUUGGGCGUAAAGCGCGUCUAGGCGGCUUAGUAAGUCUGAUGUGAAAAUGCGGGGCUCAACCCCGUAUUGCGUUGGAAAACUGCUAAACUAGAGUACUGGAGAGGUAGGCGGAACUACAAGUGUAGAGGUGAAAUUCGUAGAUAUUUGUAGGAAUGCCGAUGGGGAAGCCAGCCUACUGGACAGAUACUGACGCUAAAGCGCGAAAGCGUGGGUAGCAAACAGGAUUAGAUACCCUGGUAGUCCACGCCGUAAACGAUGAUUACUAGGUGUUGGGGGUCGAACCUCAGCGCCCAAGCUAACGCGAUAAGUAAUCCGCCUGGGGAGUACGUACGCAAGUAUGAAACUCAAAGGAAUUGACGGGGACCCGCACAAGCGGUGGAGCAUGUGGUUUAAUUCGACGCAACGCGAGGAACCUUACCAGCGUUUGACAUCCCAAGAAGUUAACAGAGAUGUUUUCGUGCCUCUUCGGAGGAACUUGGUGACAGGUGGUGCAUGGCUGUCGUCAGCUCGUGUCGUGAAAUGUUGGGGUAAGUCCCGCAACGAGCGCAACCCCUUUCGUAUGUUACCAUCAUUAAGUUGGGAACUCAUGCGAGACUGCCUGCGAUGAGCAGGAGGAAGGUGGGGAUGACGUCAAGUCAUCAUGCCCCUUAUACGCUGGGCUACACACGUGCUACAAUGGGUAGUACAGAGAGCUGCAAACCUGCGAGGGUAAGCUAAUCUCAUAAAACUAUUCUUAGUUCGGAUUGUACUCUGCAACUCGAGUACAUGAAGUUGGAAUCGCUAGUAAUCGCAAAUCAGCUAUGUUGCGGUGAAUACGUUCUCGGGUCUUGUACACACCGCCCGUCACACCACGAGAGUUGGUUGCACCUGAAGUAACAGGCCUAACCGAAGGGANGGAUUUCCGAUGGUGU